CUUGACUCUGGGAUAAGCCUGGGAAACUGGGUCUAAUACUGGAUACGACAUGUCACCGCAUGGUGGUGUGUGGAAAGGGUUUUACUGGUUUUGGAUGGGCUCACGGCCUAUCAGCUUGUUGGUGGGGUAAUGGCUCACCAAGGCGACGACGGGUAGCCGGCCUGAGAGGGUGACCGGCCACACUGGGACUGAGACACGGCCCAGACUCCUACGGGAGGCAGCAGUGGGGAAUAUUGCACAAUGGGCGAAAGCCUGAUGCAGCGACGCCGCGUGAGGGAUGACGGCCUUCGGGUUGUAAACCUCUUUCAGCACGGAAGAAGCGAAAGUGACGGUACGUGCAGAAGAAGCGCCGGCUAACUACGUGCCAGCAGCCGCGGUAAUACGUAGGGCGCAAGCGUUGUCCGGAAUUAUUGGGCGUAAAGAGCUCGUAGGCGGUUUGUCGCGUCUGCUGUGAAAGCCCGGGGCUUAACCCCGGGUGUGCAGUGGGUACGGGCAGACUUGAGUGCAGUAGGGGAGACUGGAAUUCCUGGUGUAGCGGUGAAAUGCGCAGAUAUCAGGAGGAACACCGAUGGCGAAGGCAGGUCUCUGGGCUGUUACUGACGCUGAGGAGCGAAAGCAUGGGGAGCGAACAGGAUUAGAUACCCUGGUAGUCCAUGCCGUAAACGUUGGGCMCUAGGUGUGGGGAACAUUCCACGUUUUCCGCGCCGUAGCUAACGCAUUAAGUGCCCCGCCUGGGGAGUACGGCCGCAAGGCUAAAACUCAAAGGAAUUGACGGGGGCCCGCACAAGCGGCGGAGCAUGCGGAUUAAUUCGAUGCAACGCGAAGAACCUUACCAAGGCUUGACAUACACCGGACCGGGCCAGAGAUGGUCUUUCCCCCUUGUGGGGCUGGUGUACAGGUGGUGCAUGGUUGUCGUCAGCUCGUGUCGUGAGAUGUUGGGUUAAGUCCCGCAACGAGCGCAACCCUCGUUCUAUGUUGCCAGCACGUGAUGGUGGGGACUCAUAGGAGACUGCCGGGGUCAACUCGGAGGAAGGUGGGGAUGACGUCAAAUCAUCAUGCCCCUUAUGUCUUGGGCUUCACGCAUGCUACAAUGGCCAGUACAAUGGGUUGCGAUGCCGCGAGGUGGAGCUAAUCCCAAAAAGCUGGUCUCAGUUCGGAUCGUGGUCUGCAACUCGACCACGUGAAGUCGGAGUCGCUAGUAAUCGCAGAUCAGCAACGCUGCGGUGAAUACGUUCC
Molecule: ribosomal RNA, 1236 nt
Filed under: Kocuria sp.
Lineage: Bacteria; Bacillati; Actinomycetota; Actinomycetes; Micrococcales; Micrococcaceae
Description: bacterial SSU rRNA
Rfam family: Bacterial small subunit ribosomal RNA
Source: RNAcentral